This 90-nucleotide small RNA is filed under the name Flavobacterium tiangeerense. RNAcentral's name for it is "Flavo-1 RNA". It matches the Rfam family "Flavo-1 RNA". The record is from RNAcentral. Lineage: Bacteria; Pseudomonadati; Bacteroidota; Flavobacteriia; Flavobacteriales; Flavobacteriaceae.
UUCUAGCCCAGAUAGAAGUGAAAAUCCUUAUAUGCCAAUCCCGAAACUUCGGGACGGCAUAUAAGAUUGUAACGAAUAGCUGGACACGAG